UACGUAGGUGGCAAGCGUUGUCCGGAUUUAUUGGGUUUAAAGGGUGCGUAGGCGGACUUAUAAGUCAGUGGUGAAAUCUCGUUGCUUAACAACGAACGUGCCAUUGAUACUGUAGGUCUUGAGUACAGAUGCCGUUGGCGGAAUGUGUCAUGUAGCGGUGAAAUGCAUAGAUAUGACACAGAACACCGAUUGCGAAGGCAGCUGACGAAACUGUAACUGACGCUGAGGCACGAAAGCGUGGGGAUCAAACAGG
RNAcentral lists this ribosomal RNA (253 nucleotides) under uncultured bacterium. RNAcentral describes it as "partial 16S ribosomal RNA". It matches the Rfam family "Bacterial small subunit ribosomal RNA", at positions 524 to 776 of the family's 1533-position model. The record is from RNAcentral.